This 22-nucleotide microRNA is filed under the name Callithrix jacchus (white-tufted-ear marmoset). RNAcentral describes it as "Cja-Mir-376-P3_5p* (star (passenger))". Lineage: Eukaryota; Metazoa; Chordata; Mammalia; Primates; Cebidae. The record is from RNAcentral. RNAcentral also lists the same sequence under 3 other names.
GUAGAUUUUCCUUCUAUGGUUA